AGACGGAGGGGGCAAGCGUUGUUCGGAAUUACUGGGCGUAAAGCGCGCGUAGGCGGUUUGUCAAGUUGGAGGUGAAAUCCCGGGGCUCAACCCCGGAACUGCCUUCAAAACUGGCCGACUGGAGUCCGGGAGAGGAGAGUGGAAUUCCCAGUGUAGAGGUGAAAUUCGUAGAUAUUGGGAAGAACACCAGUGGCGAAGGCGGCUCUCUGGUCCGGAACUGACGCUGAGGCGCGAAAGCGUGGGGAGCAAACAGGAUUAGAAACCCCAGUAGUCC
This 274-nucleotide ribosomal RNA is filed under the name uncultured bacterium. RNAcentral describes it as "partial 16S ribosomal RNA". It matches the Rfam family "Bacterial small subunit ribosomal RNA", at positions 523 to 796 of the family's 1533-position model. The record is from RNAcentral.